AAUACCCUAUUAUUUUAAAAGUAAUUAAUAAAAUCUAAUUAGUAAUAGUUAAGUUCUUGAAAAUUAAGGAAUUUGGCGGUAUUUUAGUCUAUUCAGAGGAAUCUGUCCUAUAAUUGAUAAUCCACGAUUUUUUAUACCUAAUUUAUUAAUUUACAUAUCGCCGUAGGUUGAAUAUUUUUUGAAAAUUAUAAUAUUCAUAAUUUAUUUUGAUGAAAAAAUUCAGGUCAAGGUGUAGUUUAUGGUUAGGGAGAGAUGGGUUACAAUAAAAGUAUUUAUUAUGGAUUAAUUAAUUAAAUUUUUUUAUGAAGGUGGAUUUGAAAGUAAUUUUAUUUA
Molecule: ribosomal RNA, 333 nt
Filed under: Laparocerus hypogeus
Lineage: Eukaryota; Metazoa; Arthropoda; Insecta; Coleoptera; Curculionidae
Description: partial 12S ribosomal RNA
Source: RNAcentral